UUCUCCGUUUACCAUUUUAUCCAUCUCUUUUGUUGUGUUUGCUUUAGUGGCACCAGCCAUUUUUUAGCCAACCUGGUUGUCCAGUUUAAGAUAAAGCCUCUUCUCACCCACAACCUGGUAUUCAUCUUUUUUUUUGUUGCGGCCUUGAGCCGGGUCGUAACAGAAUUGGGGGCUCGUCCGGGAUACAUUCGUCUUCGCUGGAGGGUCCGGAGGACCGCUUCAGCAUUCUGUUUCAGCUGGAGGGUCCGAGGGGCCUGUCCAGCCUUCAUUCGUCUCCGCUGGAGGGGUCCAAGGGGCCUGUCCAGCCAACAUUCGUCUUCGCUGGAGGGUCCGAGGGGCCUGUCCAGCAUUCGUCCGUCUUCGCUGGAGGGUCCGAGGGACCGCUUCAGCCUUCCGUUUCCGCUGGAGGGGUCCAAGGGGCCUGUCCAGCCAACAUUCGUCUUCGCUGGAGGGUCCGAGGGCCUGUCCAGCAUUCGUCCGUCUUCGCUGGAGGGUCCGAGGGACCGCUUCAGCCUUCCGUUUCCGCUGGAGGGGUCCAAGGGGCCUGUCCAGCCAACAUUCGUCUUCGCUGGAGGGUCCGAGGGGCCUGUCCAGCAUUCGUCCGUCUUCGCUGGAGGGUCCGAGGGACCGCUUCAGCCUUCCGUUUCCGCUGGAGGGGUCCAAGGGGCCUGUCCAGCCAACAUUCGUCUUCGCUGGAGGGUCCAAGGGGCCUGUCCAGCCUUCGUCCGUCUUCGCUGGAGGGUCCGAGGGGCCUGUCCAGCCAUCAUUCGUCUUCGCUGGAGGGUCCGGAGGACCACUUCAGCAUUCUGUUUCAGCUGGAGGGUCCGAGGAGCCUGUCCAGCCUUCAUUCGUCUCCGCUGGAGGGGUCCAAGGGGCCUGUCCAGCCAACAUUCGUCUUCGCUGGAGGGUCCGAGGGGCCUGUCCAGCCUUCGUCCGUCUUCGCUGGAGGGUCCGAGGGGCCUGUCCAGCCUUCGUCCGUCUUCGCUGGAGGGUCCGGAGGACCGCUUCAGCAUUCAGUCUGCCUGCAGAAUAGCGGCCAGUGCCUUGUGCGCUGGUCCUCCAGGACUACAGCAUUCAUGGCUCUCUAGGUCAUGA
RNAcentral lists this long non-coding RNA (1095 nucleotides) under Oreochromis niloticus (Nile tilapia). RNAcentral's name for it is "lncRNA (ENSONIG00000028135.1)". The record is from RNAcentral. Lineage: Eukaryota; Metazoa; Chordata; Actinopteri; Cichliformes; Cichlidae.